AUGCUAAUGUCUCGCCGCCCCGGCCUCGCCACCAGCACAACGCCCCUCCCCGUCCUCCUCGUGAUCGCCUUCCUCCUCGCCGUCUCCGCGGCCGCCGCGCCGCCGUCGCCGCGCCAGUUCUCCACCGUCGCCAUCUCCCACACCCGCAACAGCACGCUCGUCUGCGCGCUCAUCAUCGACAGGGUCAACGAGGAUGGCGGCGGCAACUCCAAGCUCCAGUGCAAGUCCAUGCCCGACGGCCGCCUCACCUCCUAUCCAUCGGCCGACAUCCCCUUCAACGCCAUCGCCGCCGGCAAGGACUUCCUCUGCGGCCUCAUGGCGCCCGUCGGCGGCCACGCCGCCAUGCGCUGGUGGUCCUUCUCCGAGGAGGAGGAGGCCAGGCGGUCUCGCCCAGUAGGCCGGCGCAUCUACUGGGGCCCCUCGCUCCGUUCCAUGUCCGCCGGCGGCCCGCACGUGUGCGGCCUCUCCGACGACCACGACCCCACCUGCUGGGAGUGGCCCGGCCUCGACCUGCCCAAGGGCCUCGACUUCUCCCUCAUCGCCCUCGGCCAGGACUUCCUCUGCGGCAUCGUGAAAGGCGACGACACCGCCAUGAGGUGCUACGGCGGCGCCAUGCCGUCGACGCCCCAGUUCACGGCCGACGGGGUUGAUGUCACGUUCCAGACGGUCGCAGCUGGGCGCCGCCACGCCUGUGCCGUGGACAGGAUGGGCGGCCUCGUGUGCUGGGGCGACGGGAACCCCACGCUCCGUCUCGACGAGCUGCCGGCCGACAUGAUGGCCAUGGCGCUCGGCCGCAACACCACGUGCAUACUCGCCGGGAACGGCACGGUCAGGUGCUGGGGCGUGAAGGUGCCGGAGGAGUACACGCACACCACCUUCGUCUCCAUCGAGGCCGACGGCGACACGGUGUGUGCCGUCAUGACGAGCAACUACUCCGUCGUCUGCUGGGGCAACGACGGCCGCUUCGACGGGAGGCACCUCGUCUACAACAACACCAUGCCGGGAGCCUGCGCCCCUAAGAGUAACUGCUCCUGCAACAUCGUACCCGACUCGGGGAGGCUUUGCGGCACCGGCGGCGGAUCGGGCGGCGAAGAACUCGCCGUGUGCAGCCCGUGCAAGCAGCCACUGAACGCGUCCAGGAUCGUCGUCAGCAAUGGGAGUACGGCCCGGCUUGGUGACCAGGGUGGUGAUGCGAAGAAGAAGAAGACGCUCUUCGUGGGGCUCGGCGUGGCCAGCGCCGGCGUCUUGGUGAUCAUCGUAGCAGGGCUGGCGUUCUACGUGCUGGCGUCCAGGAAGUCGGAGAAGAAGGCGCACGCCACCGUCCGGCUCGGGGAGUCGUCGUCCAGGCGGCUCUGCCGCGACGGCGACGUGGAGAUCAUGGUCAUGCCGGCGCGGGAGCGCUCGGCUUCGCAGCCUGCGCGACCGCUCGGGUGCGAGGAGUUCACGCUCAAGGAUCUCUCGCGGCUGACGAACUCGUUCGCUGAGGAGGCCAAGAUCGGGAGCGGCAGCUUCGGGUCCGUGUACCGCGCGAAGCUCCCCGACGGGCGGGAGGUCGCCAUCAAGCGCGCCGAGCGCGCGUCCACCGGUGCGCGGCGGCGGCGGCGGUUCGACGCGGAGCGGGCGUUCCGGUCGGAGCUGAGGCUGCUGUCCCGCGUGAACCACCGCAACCUGGUGUCCCUCCUGGGCUUCUGCGAGGAGCGCGGCGAGCGCAUCCUCGUGUUCGAGUUCAUGCCACACGGCGCGCUCCACGACCACCUCCACGGCGAGGACGCCGGGUCCGGCCACUCCCCGCUCUUCUCGUCAUGGGAGGCGCGGCUCCGCGUGGCGCUGGACGCCGCCCGCGGCGUCGAGUACCUGCAUUGCUACGCCGUGCCGCCCAUCAUCCACCGCGACAUCAAGCCGUCCAACAUCCUGCUCGACGACGACUGGACGGCGAAAGUCUCCGACUUCGGCCUCUCCCUCGUGAGCGGCGCGUCGGCGUCGGCGAGCCCGACGACGACGUCGGGGACGGCCGGCACGGUGGGGUACAUGGACCCGGAGUACUACCGUCUCCAGGAGCUGACGGAGCGGAGCGACGUGUACAGCUUCGGCGUGGUGCUGCUGGAGCUGGUGACCGGAAGGAAGGCGAUCCACCGGGACCAGAGCCAGGAAGGGAGCGGGUCGCCGAGGAACGUGAUCGAGUUCGCGGUGCCGGCCGUGGAGGCCGGACACAUCGACAAGAUCCUCGACAGCCGGGUGCCCGCGCCUCGUGGGCACGAGGUGGAGGCGGUGGCGCGCGUGGCCAAGAUCGGCGCCGAGUGCGUCCGGCCGCGCGGGCGCGGGCGGCCGGUGAUGUCGGAGGUGGUGGCGGAGCUGGAGUGGGCCGUGACGCUGUGCGAAGAGUGCGUGGUCCGGUCGGCGAGCGGCGGGCGGAACAGCAGCUCCCGGAACGGCGGCUCCGACAUGUCGCGGUCGAGGUCGAGAUCGGAGUCGGAGGACCGGAGCCCGUACCAUACGCGCGAGUUCAGCUUCGGGUCGGGCCGGGUCGCCGCAGUCGGACAUGCCAGGUCCUACUCAACCAUGUAA
RNAcentral lists this ribosomal RNA (2565 nucleotides) under Triticum aestivum (bread wheat). RNAcentral's name for it is "partial small subunit ribosomal RNA". Lineage: Eukaryota; Viridiplantae; Streptophyta; Magnoliopsida; Poales; Poaceae. The record is from RNAcentral.